CUAGUACUCCCUCCGUCCGAAAAAGCUUGUCUCAAACUUGUUCCUCAAAUGGAUGUAUCUACAUUCAUUCUAGGGACAAGCUUUUUCGGACGGAGGGAGUACAUG
Non-coding RNA from Triticum aestivum (bread wheat), 105 nucleotides. NCBI's taxonomy places the organism in Eukaryota, Viridiplantae, Streptophyta, Magnoliopsida, Poales, Poaceae. The record is from Rfam.